CCUACGGGAGGCAGCAGUGGGGAAUAUUGGACAAUGGGGGCAACCCUGAUCCAGCCAUGCCGCGUGUGUGAAGAAGGCCCUCGGGUUGUAAAGCACUUUCAGUGAGGAAGAACGCCUGGUGGUUAAUACCCAUCAGGAAAGACAUCACUCACAGAAGAAGCACCGGCUAACUCCGUGCCAGCAGCCGCGGUAAUACGGAGGGUGCGAGCGUUAAUCGGAAUUACUGGGCGUAAAGCGAGCGUAGGUGGCUUGAUAAGCCGGUUGUGAAAGCCCCGGGCUCAACCUGGGAACGGCAUCCGGAACUGUCAAGCUAGAGUGCAGGAGAGGAAAGUAGAAUUCCCGGUGUAGCGGUGAAAUGCGUAGAGAUCGGGAGGAAUACCAGUGGCGAAGGCGGCCUUCUGGACUGACACUGACGCUGAGGUGCGAAAGCGUGGGUAGCAAACAGGAUUAGAUACCCUUGUAGUC
This 465-nucleotide ribosomal RNA is filed under the name Vreelandella stevensii. Its description in RNAcentral is "partial 16S ribosomal RNA". It matches the Rfam family "Bacterial small subunit ribosomal RNA", at positions 338 to 795 of the family's 1533-position model. The record is from RNAcentral. Lineage: Bacteria; Pseudomonadati; Pseudomonadota; Gammaproteobacteria; Oceanospirillales; Halomonadaceae.